GAGUUUGAUCUUGGCUCAGAUUGAACGCUGGCGGCAUGCCUUACACAUGCAAGUCGAACGGCAGCAUGAUCUAGCUUGCUAGAUUGAUGGCGAGUGGCGAACGGGUGAGUAAUAUAUCGGAACGUGCCCUGUAGUGGGGGAUAACUAGUCGAAAGAUUAGCUAAUACCGCAUACGACCUGAGGGUGAAAGUGGGGGACCGCAAGGCCUCAUGCUAUAGGAGCGGCCGAUGUCUGAUUAGCUAGUUGGUGGGGUAAAGGCCCACCAAGGCGACGAUCAGUAGCUGGUCUGAGAGGACGAUCAGCCACACUGGGACUGAGACACGGCCCAGACUCCUACGGGAGGCAGCAGUGGGGAAUUUUGGACAAUGGGCGAAAGCCUGAUCCAGCAAUGCCGCGUGUGUGAAGAAGGCCUCGGUUGUAAGUA
RNAcentral lists this ribosomal RNA (424 nucleotides) under uncultured microorganism. Its description in RNAcentral is "bacterial SSU rRNA". It matches the Rfam family "Bacterial small subunit ribosomal RNA", at positions 9 to 432 of the family's 1533-position model. The record is from RNAcentral.